AAAUAUUUAUAAAUUGUUAAUUUAGAACACAGUAACUUUAAACUUCAAAUCGCUCUCCUCUACGCCUACGCACAACAUAGUAUUAGCAGGUACAACUCUAUUAAAGAUUACUAUACACCUUUACGACACAGAAAGGUUACAUGGUACAACUCUGCGGAUACUUCAACAAUCUGUAUACUUGCCUAAGGAUUGUUUGAGCUUCUUAUCCCAGACGGAGAAAUAAUGCAAGCCUUAACCUCGUAUGGUGAUUUAACCGAGCCGUUCUGCCUCCCAUUUCCUGAGAGAAGUCGAAACUUCAUGAGCCUGAUGAACUUUGAUCUCAGAAAGACUGGGGUAUUUUGGAAUCCGAACAAAGGGGCAAGCUUAUGCUGUCAUAUUCAUCCUGCAGUCUCAUCCCUAUUGUGUCACCUAACAUGCAUCAAGCUGCAUCACAUCUAGCCAGUGUAUGGCUAGUAUUUUUAUCUUCCUUAACUUAUGAACAUCAGACUGAAUCACUUGGCUCCAGCGUAGUGUCAUGGCUCCUAUUUCUUGAGAUGCUGUCGUGGUCAAUUUUAUCACUUUUAUCUUCAUUAGACAAUCUAUGUUCCGUUUCUUCUGGAUCCUGCAUAGUGUCAUAACUUCUAUUUGUUGAGGCGAUAUCGUGGUUAACGUUAUCACUUUCUUCUUCAUUAGACGAUCUGUGUUCCGUUUCUUCUCUGGGUUCUGGCUCUGAAUUUGAUUGACCUACUUGAGAAUCCCCACAACACUCAGAGCUGCUCUGGUGAGAUGUUUCAUCGGCAUCUUGUUCACUAGAAGUACUCUCAGUAGUUUCUGAGCUCGUAUCAGGUAUUUCAGUGCAAGCAUUAGUUGGAGCAAGGAUUGAUUGGCG
Molecule: unclassified non-coding RNA, 868 nt
Filed under: Hevea brasiliensis (rubber tree)
Lineage: Eukaryota; Viridiplantae; Streptophyta; Magnoliopsida; Malpighiales; Euphorbiaceae
Source: RNAcentral